RNAcentral lists this ribosomal RNA (254 nucleotides) under Salmonella enterica subsp. enterica serovar Anatum. RNAcentral's name for it is "partial 23S ribosomal RNA". It matches the Rfam family "Bacterial large subunit ribosomal RNA", at positions 1507 to 1773 of the family's 2925-position model. Lineage: Bacteria; Pseudomonadati; Pseudomonadota; Gammaproteobacteria; Enterobacterales; Enterobacteriaceae. The record is from RNAcentral.
UACCGUCACAGUCGAAGGCAAAGAUGAAGUGUUCGCGCUGAGUAAUAUCCAGAAGGCGAACCUGGUUCCCCACUUUUAACAGUCUGGAUGAGGUGAAAAGCCCGCGAUGAACAAAGAAAUUUUGGCUACCGACACAGGUGGUCAGGUAGAGAAUACCAAGGCGCUUGAGAGAACUCGGGUGAAGGAACUAGGCAAAAUGGUGCCGUAACUUCGGGAGAAGGCACGCUGACAUGUAGGUGAAGUGAUUUACUCAU